RNAcentral lists this ribosomal RNA (842 nucleotides) under Hypocrella raciborskii. Its description in RNAcentral is "eukaryotic LSU rRNA". It matches the Rfam family "Eukaryotic large subunit ribosomal RNA", at positions 71 to 936 of the family's 3401-position model. Lineage: Eukaryota; Fungi; Ascomycota; Sordariomycetes; Hypocreales; Clavicipitaceae. The record is from RNAcentral.
GGGAUUGCCCCAGUAACGGCGAGUGAAGCGGCAACAGCUCAAAUUUGAAAUCUGGCCCCCCCCGGGGGGCCCGAGUUGUAAUUUGCAGAGGAUGCUUUGGGCGAGGCGCCUUCCGAGUUCCCUGGAACGGGACGCCACAGAGGGUGAGAGCCCCGUCUGGUCGGACGCCGAGCCUCUGUAAAGCUCCUUCGACGAGUCGAGUAGUUUGGGAAUGCUGCUCAAAAUGGGAGGUAUAUGUCUUCUAAAGCUAAAUACCGGCCAGAGACCGAUAGCGCACAAGUAGAGUGAUCGAAAGAUGAAAAGCACCUUGAAAAGGGGGUUAAACAGUACGUGAAAUUGUUGAAAGGGAAGCGCUCGUGACCAGACUUGGGGCGGGCGGAUCAGCCGGCGUUCUCGCCGGCGCACUCCGCCCGUCCCAGGCCAGCAUCAGUUCGCGCCGGGGGACAAAGGCGGCGGGAACGUGGCUCCCCAGGGAGUGUUAUAGCCCGCCGCGCCAUGCCCCGGGGGCGGACUGAGGGCCGCGCAUCACUGCAAGGAUGCUGGCGUAAUGGUCACCAGCGACCCGUCUUGAAACACGGGCCAAGGAGUCGUCCUCGUAUGCGAGUGUUCGGGUGUCAAACCCCUACGCGGAAUGAAAGUGAACGUGGGUGAGAGCUUCGGCGCAUCAUCGACCGAUCCUGAUGUUCUCGGAUGGAUUUGAGUAGGAGCAUACGGGGCCGGACCCGAAAGAAGGUGAACUAUGCCUGUGUAGGGUGAAGCCAGAGGAAACUCUGGUGGAGGCUCGCAGCGGUUCUGACGUGCAAAUCGAUCGUCAAACAUGGGCAUGGGGGCGAAAGACUAUC